Actinia tenebrosa (Australian red waratah sea anemone) is the source of this 735-nucleotide long non-coding RNA. NCBI's taxonomy places the organism in Eukaryota, Metazoa, Cnidaria, Anthozoa, Actiniaria, Actiniidae. The record is from RefSeq and is a predicted model, not a curated record.
GCUGAUAAAAGUCUAAGAACGCUCAUUCUCUGCUCCAAAUGGUGGUUCAACACUGAGCACUAUGUAUUGUCAGCCAGAAAGAAUUCUGUUGAAAGCUUAAUGAACCAGCUAAUGAACCAUUCUGCACGAGAGAGGAAAUGAGGUCAAUUGAAGUCAAGGAAUCAAGAAAGAAGAGGAUUGAGAGCAAAGGAAGCUGUAUCUUCUCGACUAGCUGCAAAGAACUGUGCUGUGCCCCGUUUCUAUCUUUCUUGAGUUCCAGCGAACGAAAGGUCAGGAACUUCAAGUUUGUCACACAGUCAUCAUCAGCUCAGUCUAAGGCCCUACUGAUAUCUGAUUAUCAUCUGCCUUCAAACGCCAAACUCGCUGGAUAUAGAACAAGUAUCUUGGGAGAAAAGUAAGGAAGCAGGCUGCACAGACACUAAGAAACUUCAAAAUUACAAAGAGCUCAAGUCAGCUGUAUUAAUCCUCAGGUAAAAUAUUCUGAAAAGCGACUCUGCUGACAGCAAGUUUAAACAUAGCUCGAUCGGUUCACUUGAAACUUGUAUGUGAGAAGGAAGCCGAGGAAGUCCUCGAGCGAAGAGACAACGAUUAACAGCAAAAGGUUAGUUACUUCUCUAAAAAAUAUACAGAAAUCAAAGACGUAUAUUCCGAUUUAGAUAUUCUACUAGAGAUAUCUAAAAAAAAAUUCUAUAUUAGAAAAAAAUAUUAUUUACAAACUUCUAAUUACAAGCAUCG